UAUAGCAGCCACCCACCUACUACCAGCUGAACCCCCCCCACCACCACCACCACCACCACCACAACUAGAUACGAAGCCGCCGAACUGAUAAGGCGAAAAAGAAAUUCACAAUCCAACGUUGUGGAGCCGAGAAGAGAGAUGUGCCUCCAGCCGAGCAGGUGCUGGGUUUAGUUUAGUGACAUCACCCGUAGGUUUCCCUGAAGAGGAGCAGUGAAGCUCGCUGUGGUGUUUCCAGGUCGCCGCCAUCUUGAUGGUGAUCGACUCCUGGCUAAGCGUCCGUGGAGAUGAACCAGAGAGAACCUUGUCAUAUCGUACCUUAUUUAUGCAUGAGUUCUAUAGACAUCCUACCUUUUCUUUAAGAUUAGAAAUUUAGAAAUUUUCAGUGAUGUUUUCAGUCACCUGUAGGUUUCCGUGAAGAGCCUCUGUGAACUUCAGUUUGGUUUCUCCAGCUGGAGAUGGAGCUGAACCUGUUUCAGUAAAGAGCCGCUAGGAAGCUCCAUGUGGUGUUAGCAGGUUGAUUCAAAAAUGGUCAAAGAGGUGAACCUCUUUUCAGUGGCGUCUCCCGUAGGAAUCCAUGAAGAGCGUCGCCAUCUUGGAAGUAAUCGACUACUAUUGGUAAAUUCAAACAUGGUCAAAGAGACGGAGCAGAACCAGAGAGCUACAAACCUACGAACCCGAGACAACAACACGAGCAGCAGCGUCGUCGUCUUUCAUCGCGGUUCAGACGGUAAAUGUCAAUUUGUGAUCCUGCUACCGGCGGUCCAGAUAGCUCUCCGACCCUUCUGAUCCUUCCUCGAGGUGGCUGAGAUGAGGAAAUGCCAUCCCUCUCUCCUCUCCUCUUCUCUCCUGGUUUCUGACCAGAGCUCUUUAACUAAAAGCACCUUCCAUCCAUCGCUUGGUCCAUUAGUGCUGCCAGAUGGGGGAGGUUGGGUCCUGGCGGCUAUGUGUGACCCUACUCUGAUUAAUAGAGUAGGUGAGGGCAAAGGUGCAAUGCACACCCCCAUUCAUUACCUCAUUAGGAUGGCCCACAGUGAAAGGUGAUCUCCCUCAUUAUAUCUCAAUGAAGGGGGCUGAACUCGACACAGUGUGAGCCGCGCAGUUGGGUUUUUUACUCUCCGACAAACGCCCGGAUCCCAGCCACCUGUCUUUUUUACACCGAGUCACACCACUUUACACGAAGGGCCCGACUGCAGGAAAAAAAAGAAGCCGAGGCCCCUGACGGACGGCGGCGCACAAUCACUCGCGACUCACUUUCGCAGACCCGAACAACGCUCCAAUUAUCUUUUCACAAGUGGGAAAAUGUGGGACGCAGCCUCGGAUGUGCCCCUCGUGUUUAUUUGCAGGGAGAGGAGUUGGUGCAGAGGGCGAAAAAGGGUGAAUGGAGUUGUUUGAAUUAAGUGUUUAUUCUGGUUAAGUGAAGACGGGGUUAUUUGUGGUUUUGGAAUUCCAGACGUGUUUGUUUUUCCUCCUCGUGAUACUUGGGUGGAAUCCUUCAA
Long non-coding RNA from Mugil cephalus (flathead mullet), 1496 nucleotides. RefSeq lists it as uncharacterized. Lineage: Eukaryota; Metazoa; Chordata; Actinopteri; Mugiliformes; Mugilidae. The record is from RefSeq and is a predicted model, not a curated record. The transcript is spliced from 6 exons.